RNAcentral lists this ribosomal RNA (421 nucleotides) under uncultured bacterium. RNAcentral describes it as "bacterial SSU rRNA". It matches the Rfam family "Bacterial small subunit ribosomal RNA", at positions 355 to 774 of the family's 1533-position model. The record is from RNAcentral.
UAAGGAAUAUUGGUCAAUGGACGCAAGUCUGAACCAGCCAUGCCGCGUGAAGGAUGAAGGUCCUCUGGAUUGUAAACUUCUUUUAUCUGGGACGAAAACGGGAUUUUUAUCUCAAUUGACGGUACCAGAGGAAUAAGCACCGGCUAACUCCGUGCCAGCAGCCGCGGUAAUACGGAGGGUGCGAGCGUUAUCCGGAUUUACUGGGUUUAAAGGGUGCGUAGGUGGGCUUAUAAGUCAGUGGUGAAAUCUCCGAGCUUAACUUGGAAACUGCCGUUGAUACUAUAGGUCUUGAAUUAUCUGGAGGUAAGCGGAAUAUGUCAUGUAGCGGUGAAAUUCUUAGAUAUGACAUAGAACACCAAUUGCGAAGGCAGCUUACUACAUAUAAAUUGACGCUGAGGCACGAAAGCGUGGGGAUCAAACA